CUUGGUCAUUUAGAGGAAGUAAAAGUCGUAACAAGGUUUCCGUAGGUGAACCUGCGGAAGGAUCAUUAAAGAAACUUCGCCCCCGGGCGGAGUCCUUCUUAACCCGUGUCUACCUUACCUUUUGUUGCUUUGGCAGGCCGCCUUCGGGCGUCGGCUUCGGCUGAUAGUGCUUGCCAGAGGACCCAACUCUUUUGUUUAGUGAUGUCUGAGUACUAUAUAAUAGUUAAAACUUUCAACAACGGAUCUCUUGGUUCUGGCAUCGAUGAAGAACGCAGCGAAAUGCGAUAAGUAAUGUGAAUUGCAGAAUUCAGUGAAUCAUCGAAUCUUUGAACGCACAUUGCGCCCCUUGGUAUUCCGAGGGGCAUGCCUGUUCGAGCGUCAUUUGACCACUCAAGCCUAGCUUGGUAUUGGGGUACGCGGUUUCGCGGCCCCUAAAAUCAGUGGCGGUGCCGUCUGGCUUCAAGCGUAGUAAUUUUCUCGCUACGGAGUCCGGGCGGUUGCUUGCCAAAAACCCUAUUUUUACAAGGUUGACCUCGGAUCAGGUAGGGAUACCCGCUGAACUUAAGCAUAUCAAUAAGCGGAGGAAAAGAAACCAACAGGGAUUGCCUCAGUAACGGCGAGUGAAGCGGCAACAGCUCAAAUUUGAAAUCUGGCUCUUUCAGGGUCCGAGUUGUAAUUUGUAGAAGCAGCUUUGGGUGUGGUACCGGUCUAAGUUCCUUGGAACAGGACGUCAUAGAGGGUGAGAAUCCCGUACGUGACUGGUUGCCUUCGCCCGUGUAAAGCGCUUUCGACGAGUCGAGUUGUUUGGGAAUGCAGCUCAAAAUGGGUGGUAAAUUUCAUCUAAAGCUAAAUAUUGGCCAGAGACCGAUAGCGCACAAGUAGAGUGAUCGAAAGAUGAAAAGCACUUUGGAAAGAGAGUUAAACAGUACGUGAAAUUGUUGAAAGGGAAGCGCUUGCAACCAGACUUGCGCGCUGCUGAUCAUCCGAGCUUCUGCCCGGUGCACUCGGUAGCGUUCAGGCCAGCAUCGGUUUUGGUGGGCGGAUAAAGGCCUUGGGAAUGUAGCCUCUUUCGGGGAGUGUUAUAGCCCUCGGUGCAAUGCGCCCUACCGGGACCGAGGACCGCGCUUCGGCUAGGAUGCUGGCGUAAUGGUUGUAAGCGACCCGUCUUGAAACACGGACC
This 1180-nucleotide ribosomal RNA is filed under the name uncultured fungus. RNAcentral describes it as "eukaryotic LSU rRNA". The stretch from base 529 to 1180 matches the Rfam family "Eukaryotic large subunit ribosomal RNA", at positions 1 to 667 of the family's 3401-position model. Lineage: Eukaryota; Fungi. The record is from RNAcentral.